UACGGGGGGUGCAAGCGUUACUCGGAAUCACUGGGCGUAAAGAGCAUGUAGGCGGAUUAAUAAGUUGGAAGUGAAAUCCUAUAGCUUAACUAUAGAACUGCUUCCAAAACUGUUGAUCUAGAAUAUGGGAUAGGUAGAUGGAAUUUCUGGUGUAGGGGUAAAAUCCGUAGAGAUCAGAAGGAAUACCGAUUGCGAAGGCGAUCUACUGGAACAUUAUUGACGCUCAGAUGCGAAAGCGUGGGGAGCAAACAGGAUUAGAUACCCUGGUAGUCCACGCCCUAAACGAUGUACACUAGUUGUUGCUAUACUAGAUAUGGCAGUAAUGCAGUUAACACAUUAAGUGUACCGCCUGGGGAGUACGGUCGCAAGAUUAAAACUCAAAGGAAUAGACGGGGACCCGCACAAGCGGUGGAGCAUGUGGUUUAAUUCGACGAUACGCGAAAAACCUUACCUGGCCUUGACAUAGUAAGAACUUUCUAGAGAUAGAUUGGUGCUAGCUUGCUAGAGCUUACAUACAGGUGCUGCACGGCUGUCGUCAGCUCGUGUCGUGAGAUGUUGGGUUAAGUCCCGCAACGAGCGCAACCCACGUGAUUAGUUGCUAACGGUUCGGCCGAGAACUCUAAUCAGACUGCCUUCGUAAGGAGGAGGAAGGUGUGGACGACGUCAAGUCAUCAUGGCCCUUACGGCCAGGGCUACACACGUGCUACAAUGGGAUAUACAAAGAGCAGCAAUACCGCGAGGUGGAGCAAAUCUAGAAAAUAUCUCCCAGUUCGGAUUGUUCUCUGCAACUCGAGAACAUGAAGUUGGAAUCGCUAGUAAUCGUAGAUCAGCAUUGCUACGGUGAAUACGUUCCCGGGUCU
RNAcentral lists this ribosomal RNA (860 nucleotides) under uncultured bacterium. RNAcentral describes it as "SSU rRNA". It matches the Rfam family "Bacterial small subunit ribosomal RNA", at positions 524 to 1381 of the family's 1533-position model. The record is from RNAcentral.